Rattus norvegicus (Norway rat) is the source of this 58-nucleotide non-coding RNA. The record is from Rfam. NCBI's taxonomy places the organism in Eukaryota, Metazoa, Chordata, Mammalia, Rodentia, Muridae.
UGGCUCAGUGGUUAAGAGCACUGACUGCUCUUCCAGAGGUUCUGAGUUCAAAUCUCAG